UACGGAGGAUCCGAGCGUUAUCCGGAUUUAUUGGGUUUAAAGGGUGCGCAGGCGGGAGAUUAAGUCGGCGGUGAAAUUUUGCAGCUCAACUGUAAAAGUGCCUUCGAAACUGGUUUCCUUGAGUGUAGAUGAAGUAGGCGGAAUUUGUGGUGUAGCGGUGAAAUGCUUAGAUAUCACGAGGAACUCCGAUUGCGCAGGCAGCUUACUAAACUACUACUGACGCUCAGGCACGAAGGCGUGGGGAUCAAACAGGAUUAGAUACCCGCGUAGU
RNAcentral lists this ribosomal RNA (271 nucleotides) under uncultured prokaryote. RNAcentral's name for it is "partial 16S ribosomal RNA". It matches the Rfam family "Bacterial small subunit ribosomal RNA", at positions 524 to 794 of the family's 1533-position model. The record is from RNAcentral.